This 465-nucleotide ribosomal RNA is filed under the name uncultured bacterium. RNAcentral describes it as "partial 16S ribosomal RNA". It matches the Rfam family "Bacterial small subunit ribosomal RNA", at positions 338 to 795 of the family's 1533-position model. The record is from RNAcentral.
CCUACGGGCGGCAGCAGUGGGGAAUAUUGCGCAAUGGGCGAAAGCCUGACGCAGCGACGCCGCGUGAGGGAUGAAGGUCUUCGGAUCGUAAACCUCUGUCAGCAGGGAAGAACGGUCACUGUGCUAAUCAGCAGUGAAUUGACGGUACCUGCAAAGGAAGCACCGGCUAACUCCGUGCCAGCAGCCGCGGUAAUACGGAGGGUGCGAGCGUUAAUCGGAAUUACUGGGCGUAAAGCGCUCGUAGGCGGUAUGUCAAGUCAAGGGUGAAAUCCCCGCGCUCAACGUGGGAACUGCCUUUGAAACUGGCAGACUGGAGUGUGUGAGAGGAUAGUGGAAUGCCGGGUGUAGGAGUGAAAUCCGUAGAUAUCUGGAGGAACAUCAGUGGCGAAGGCGACUAUCUGGCACAUAACUGACGCUGAGGAGCGAAAGCGUGGGUAGCAAACAGGAUUAGAUACCCCAGUAGUC